RNAcentral lists this ribosomal RNA (426 nucleotides) under uncultured bacterium. RNAcentral describes it as "bacterial SSU rRNA". It matches the Rfam family "Bacterial small subunit ribosomal RNA", at positions 33 to 437 of the family's 1533-position model. The record is from RNAcentral.
UCGAGCGAUACCCUGGAUGGAGAGAUUGAAGCCGCAAGGCGGAUGUCGAUUUGUCCGGGGAUAUAGCGGCAGACUGGUGAGGAACACGUGAGUAAUAUACCUCCAAGUUGGGAAUAGCCUUGCGAAAGUGAGGGUAAUACCCGAUGUGUUUACGGCGGCGCAAGCCGCUGCGAGUAAAGGUGCACCGGCGAAAGCCGGGGUGCCGCUUGAAGAUUAGCUCGCGUCCUAUCAUCUAGGUGGUGGGGUAAUGGCCUACCAAGGCUUUUGACGGGUAGCUGGCCUGAGAGGGUGGUCAGCCACACGGGGACUGAGACACUGCCCCGACUCCUACGGGAGGCUGCAGUCGAGGAUCUUUAGCAAUGGGCGAAAGCCUGACUAUGCGACGCCGCGUGAGGGAUGAAGGUUUUCGGAUCGUAAACCUCUUUC